RNAcentral lists this unclassified non-coding RNA (236 nucleotides) under Hevea brasiliensis (rubber tree). Lineage: Eukaryota; Viridiplantae; Streptophyta; Magnoliopsida; Malpighiales; Euphorbiaceae. The record is from RNAcentral.
UGACAACAAUUCGCUUGGAAGUUGGAACGAUUAUGGUGACUUGAAUGAUAAUGCAGAUACAAACUCAUUGGGGAGUUGGAAAGAUGGGGCUGGUGGGGAGCCCUUUGAGGAGCUUUCUGUGGACAGAAAUUCAUCUGACGGUUGUAUAGAUGGCGCAGAUUCACAAUCUCAAUCUGUUGGAGAGGCAUCUACAAGUGAAGCAUUCAAAUCAUCCUUACCUGUGACUACCCCGAAAG